Molecule: transfer RNA, 72 nt
Filed under: Opsarius caudiocellatus
Lineage: Eukaryota; Metazoa; Chordata; Actinopteri; Cypriniformes; Danionidae
Description: tRNA-Val
Rfam family: tRNA
About the family: Transfer RNA (tRNA) molecules are approximately 80 nucleotides in length. Their secondary structure includes four short double-helical elements and three loops (D, anti-codon, and T loops).
Source: RNAcentral
CAGAACGUGGCUGAAUUAGUUAAGCAUCUCACUUACACCGAGAAGAAAUCCUUGCGAACAGGGUCGUUCUGA